Schizosaccharomyces pombe (fission yeast) is the source of this 591-nucleotide non-coding RNA. The record is from the annotation of a GenBank genome assembly. Lineage: Eukaryota; Fungi; Ascomycota; Schizosaccharomycetes; Schizosaccharomycetales; Schizosaccharomycetaceae.
AAAUGUAAAGAAGCGUAGAAAAAAAAAGAUGAAAGUUGAGACUGAAAAGUUACUAGAUCGAGUUGGAAUGAUGAAGGAUAUUUUUCGUAAAGGCGAUUGAAUCAAGGAUAACUUGAAAGAGACAAUUAGUAGAGGUCCAAGUGGAAGAAGGAGUGAAAGUGAUAUAUAAUAGAAGGCCACAAGAAAAAAAUUGAAGCUUUAAAAGUGAUUUUCUUAUAAGCCUAAUUUUAAGUUGAGGAGAUUUGAAAACGAGAACAAAAUCACGAGCCUCUAAGGCUUUUUUUUCUCUAUAUAAAACGGAGGAAAAACUAAAAACAAGAAAGAGCGGAAUAGUUAACAGGAAAAACAGACGAAACGGAAGACUAAAUAACGGAAAAGUGAGUCAAAUAAAAAGGCGUAACAAGGGAGAAAUUUCAGAGACACCGAUAACUGAAGAAUGGUUGAGCUCUGUAAGAUGGUGAAACUUUGGGUAUACAAAUAAAGUGAGGAAUACCAAUGAAUACGUGAAUAAUGCGACAAUGACAGGGGAGAAAUAAUGUUAUAACAUGAGCCAACAAAGACCGAUGGUGAAUGCAACUUAAUUCUGAAUGG